RNAcentral lists this unclassified non-coding RNA (2002 nucleotides) under Sitophilus oryzae (rice weevil). Its description in RNAcentral is "tyrosine-protein kinase Dnt-like, transcript variant X2". Lineage: Eukaryota; Metazoa; Arthropoda; Insecta; Coleoptera; Curculionidae. The record is from RNAcentral.
UGUGUUAUAUUUUAAGUCUAUAGUUGGGGCACAUGUACAGAAGCGGGCGUUGUUUGUUAGUAUAUUCUGUGGUUUGUUGUUCAUCUAUGUUGUUGAUUAUGUAGACACAGAAAGUGAAGAAAGAUAGGAAAUCUCAGUGUUUUAAUUUUCUAAAUAUAUGUACCUAUUUUUCCUAGUUUUUUAAUGUGUGUUGUAGCAUUAUGAAGCAUCUAAAAUCAAUUUUUCUCAUAUUUGUGCAAAUAAUAUACUAUGUAAAGAACUCUAGUGCCUCCUUUAAUUUAUAUUUAAGUCCUCAGGAAAUGCAGAGACAUUUAGGAUUACAAGCCGAACUGUACUACGUUCAAGAUAAUCGCAUAAACGAAUAUGCCCUGAAUUUUACUCUUUUAUUACCUCCAAAAUUAAACACAUUAUAUUUUACAUGGAAAAAUACAGACAGUCAAGAGCUGCCAUAUUCAAUCAGUGUUGAAACAUCGAAUAGAGCUGCUAUACCAUAUCCAAAAUUAAAUAUCUCCUCAUCUGGAUCUGUUCCCACGUCAACUCAAACUUUUGCAGUAUCAGUACCAUGUACUGAGACUAUUGAUGCAGAAGUGCUUAUAUCUAUUAACAUCAACGUAACUUUUCCUGGAAAUAAUGUUACUAAACUUCAUUUGUCAAGAAGGAAAACUUGUAUUAAUGAAAAUUUAAAACCUUAUGCUUCCAAAAAUUCUCUGACAUUCGCUGAUUCGUCUAGUGUAUUUUACAUAGCGGUUUGUUGUGCUGUUCUGCUAAUUUUGGUUCUGGGAGUUUUAAUAACAAUUUAUUAUGUAACUGAUAAAAAGAAUAAAGUGGCAAAAAGUAGUGGCACAGGUCCAGGAACCACUACAACGACGUUUCUAGCAACUUUGCCUAGAAACAGUGUUAAUAUUUCUUCUUAUGCCAGUUUCAGAAGAAUGCCUAGUUAUUCUUUACUAGAUGAAAGAUCAAAAGAUUUACAAGAAAGAAUAACAGACCUUACAGUACAAAGAUGCAGAAUUCGCUUAAGCAGUAUAAUAUUAGAAGGAACAUUUGGAAGAAUAUACCAGGGAUCUUAUACUAAUGAAGAAGGAAAUGAAGAUACUGUUAUAAUAAAAACAGUUGCGGAUCAUGCAAGUCAAAUACAAAUAUCUUUGUUGCUACAAGAGGGGAUGGCAAUGUAUUCAUUAAACCAUAAAAAUAUUUUAAGUAUUCUUAGGGUGUCUAUUGAAGACCAUACUGCUCCAUUUUUACUAUACCCAUUUAACAAUUACAAGAACCUAAAAAUUUUCUUACAGAAAUGUAAAGUAUCAUCUGAAGGUGUGCACCACACACUAACAACUCAAGAAGUAGUGCACAUGGCUCUGCAAAUCAUAAAAGCAAUGCAGUAUUUGCAUAAAAGGCAUUUACUUCAUAAAGACCUGGCUGCUAGAAAUUGUGUUAUAGAUGAUUCGCUGAAUAUUCAAGUUGCUGAUAAUGCUUUAUCAAGAGAUCUUUUUCCAUCAGACUACCAUUGUUUAGGAGAUAAUGAAAAUCGCCCCGUUAAAUGGUUGGCCUUAGAGAGUUUAUUACACAAAACUUUCACGCCUUCAUCAGAUGUUUGGUCGUUUGGGGUUUUGCUAUGGGAGUUGACUACUUUAGCACAACAACCUUACAUCGAAAUAGAUCCUUUUGAAAUGGCAGCUUACUUAAAAGAUGGCUACAGACUAGCUCAGCCUAUUAACUGUCCAGAUGAAUUAUUUGCUGUUAUGGCCUAUUGUUGGGCUAUGAGUCCUGAAGAGAGGCCUACUUUUACACAGCUGCAUGUAUUCUUACAGGAAUUCUUUGCACAAUUAACCAAAUAUGUUUGACAUCCAAUAAAAAUGAGCGCAAAAGUUUUAUUUUGCUACUAGAUUUAUGUUCCUUUGUCUUAAGUGCCAAAGUUGGGAAGAAAUGUUUUGCCAAAUAUGGGAUGUCUCUCUUUAUCUGGACUGUAUAUUGGGUUGCCUAAAUAGAAAUAUUUAAAUAUUGA